GACUGCAAUUUGCUAAUAAAAAAAUUAAAACUUCAAUAAAAAUACCACAUCUGGUAAAAGUGACAUGAUUGUGAUUAGUAAACCUGUGAUCCAUCCCAGUGCAUACUUCUGUAUCGAUUAUUUCCACUUUGAAAAGUUUCCUGUUCGUGCUCUUUCUUUGCAGUUAAAGAGAAACAUGAGAGACACAUUCUAGUAUUAGAAUCUCUUUUCCUGAAGGACGGACUGCUCUUGAAUUGUCCAAAUUUGUCAUAAAACUAAUUCAUUAUUCUGAGGUUACCUUUCAUUCUGCAAAUCGUGCAAGACAACAUUAGCUCUGAUCUUAGCAAAACAGCAACUAACCACUUCCUUUUUUUAUCAGCAGCUCCUCGUCAGAAACAUAAAGUUGGGGGUGAAGAUGAGGCCUGUUUCACUCUCUCACUGUCGGCCAUGAUAUUACAACUGAACCAAACAGCGCUGCUCUUCAUUCAGCUGUUAGUGAUGCUGCGUGUCUUUGCAGUGAAGCUUGAAGAAAACAACAGAGUUAUGUUGGCAUUCAGAGGAGAUCCAGUGACGCUGACUUGUAACAUAUCUGAAAAAAAUGCAACACAAAUCUCCUGGACAAACGGCAGAUCUGUUUUUCAAUAUUCUAUCCAGCUGAAUCGCACUUUUUCAAAUUUUUCAUCUAACAGACUAAAAAUAAAUCCCGAGUUACCUACAAAUCUGAUUAUUUUUAGUGCUCAACCAGAGGAUGAAGGACUUUAUACAUGUAGCAUAACUGGCCUAGAUGGCCUACACACCAUUACAUGGAAUUUAACUGUGUCUGGGAACCCAGAAGAAUCGAUUUCAUCAAAGUAUUUUACAUUCAUACUUCCAUCUGCAAUUGGAUUCCUUCUGUGUGGCAUCACACUGGCUGUCUUCUUCUACAGAUGCUGCACCAGGACCCCGAACCAGGACCUUCAUGAUAUCAGGACCUUGAGUUUUGUCCAUUAUCAUGUUCAGCUGGGAGGAAAGGUGGUCCCUCCACAACCUCAGAGUUUUGCAGUGUACAGGACAGGCAGCACACUGAGAGACUCAGUCCAUGUGGCCAUCUUGGGAGAUGGCCACAGUGUCACAAUUCCCACCUUGAAGUGA
This 1110-nucleotide long non-coding RNA is filed under the name Oreochromis niloticus (Nile tilapia). RNAcentral's name for it is "lncRNA (ENSONIG00000032299.1)". The record is from RNAcentral. Lineage: Eukaryota; Metazoa; Chordata; Actinopteri; Cichliformes; Cichlidae.